CCACCCGACACCUCGUUUAAAAAAAAGAAACACCCACACGGUUCACUCCAUCCCCAUUCCCCACCACCGCUACCAGUCCUCCCUGACAUCCCGACGACGGCAAGCCCCCCGUGCAGCCGCGCUGCACCACCCAUGCUCUGCCCAACCAGCCUCAGCGCGCCGCUCCAUUUCCUGGCUCCAGGCCGCACCGUACAGACGCCGUGCUACCUUGCCAAGGAGCAGGUGACGGUGGAGGCCGCUGCGGCGGAGAUGUGGUUCCUCACAGCCACACGCGCCGGUCAGGACACUUCAUCCCUGCGAGUCAGAUGGUGGAGGUGGGGCUGCGGGAUCCAAAGUUUCUAGCCCGGCCGCUCAGCCCCGUUUCAGCCCCUGCAUGGAGCCCCCACCCGGCCGACCGGUUCCAUCCUGAUCCAUCUUCGCGCGAGACUCCUUGCAGUUUUUUCGAUCUAAAUUUGCUUCACCUGGAUUUUUCCGAUCUGGCAUUUUUCUUCACCAUUUGAUGCAAUCGGGGUCGAUGUUGAUUUUUGUGGACAUGGUGUGUUCCAAGUCUAGAUCCCGUGGAAAGUCAUGUUAAUUCUCGCUGUAUUCUUCGAUCCAGAUCUUUUUUUCAUCUACGUUUACUUCACAGAGAACAUGGGAAGUUGCUUCGCAGGUGGUGGCGACCGAGCUGCCAGUGGGGUUCUCCUGGCUAGAUCUGGCCGCCGUGCUCGAUUCCGUGUUUGGUUGCUCCGGCUGCACGGCGGCGGCGGGCCGCCAGGGGAUGGUUCGGUGCCAGCGGCUGGCUGUUUUCAGUUUUCCACUGUUCAACCAUCGUGUGUUCUUUUUGUACGCCAGCGCCAGGAGAUGGAUUUGUUCCUCACGCCGCCUCCUUUUGCUAUCCAUCCAUGGCGUUUAACCUUUCUUCUCUCCUCUCUGAGUGUUAUUGUUUUCUCCGGAUGAAGUCGCCCAGCUCAUCUUUUUUUCGAACUCUUUGUUGGACUUCUGGUUUGGUUCUUUGAGCUGGAAAAUUAAGAUGAUAUUGUUUGGUGCACGGCAUGAACUAUGAAGAACUAUGGACAAACUUCACCGGCUCGUUCAGGGAAUUGGGUCAAUGUUGAUUAUGUGUAAACUUUACAAUGAAAAAGUUUUAUUUAUCUCGUAAUUUUGUUCCACCCAUUCCAUGUACGUUAGUUUUUUACAGAAAGUUUUCAGUCCAAGUUUUUCUACAGAAUGGUUUGACUUUCUUGUCGAUUCUCUGAAUAGUAGUACUGCAUUGAGUGCGUUUUUAAUUUGCAAGGAAGUGUUCCCAGAUUUGUGAUUCAAUUUUUUUAUAAGCUAUAGUUCUCCAGAUUAGAUUUUUUUUUCAUAUUAUUUUUUGUUCAGUAGGUGCCCUUGCGAGGAAGGAGAAUUAGGGGAGUAGGCAAGCCCGAGGAAUUUUUUUCGAUGUAGAUCCCAUGUUCAUUUAACUAAAGGGUGAACUUUAUGAGAAAAUUUUAUGGGAAAAGUUGUGUUAAUUAAUCUUGUAAUGUUUUCCGAUCUGGAUCCCAUGUCCAUCAUAGAAAUGUUUUUCCAAUGCUAAGCUAGUUAAUGGUGUAUUGAACCGGACUUACUUAAUUACACCGAGGGAUGUUUUGCACUCCGAGCUGCACCUACACCUGCCCAUCAGAAAUAAUAUAAUCUUGCAAGGACAUGCCCCAUGUCGCAUGCCACAGAGAGCGCAUAAAAGAUUCCGACAGACGGGUAACGGGGACUCACGGAAAGCACGAAUCAUCGCAGGCGAUCCAACGGCCAGUAGCACGUGCGUAGCUAUCACCCCGGCUAGAAAAUCCGCGUCGAUAUAUAUAUAUAUAUAUAUAUAUAUAUAUCGACGCGGAUUUUAUAACCGGGUGGCUAGCUGUGCACACCGGCUCAGCCGUUGGAUAUAGGGAGCUUGAUUGUGACUUGGGGUCUCUGGGUACUUCACAUUGUUGUGAGCAGCUAACGCCGGCAUGCACCUCCGUCAAGAACGCAUGGACUUUAUAUGGCUGUAAAAACGUUACGUGUAGUGUGAUGCAGUUUGGUGCAGCUAGAAUUAGCGCAUGAGGCUGGUAGCCAAAGAUAUAGAAAGUGUCAAGAGCAUCCACUCGUUAAAAUUGUUGGCAUUAGCCUACACUCCUUGUUCUGUCGGGAUGCCUCUGUUCAUUGUCAUAUGCCUGUAUCGUAUGUUUCGCGAUGCUAAGUUAGAAACUAUGCAUCUGCCGUCGCAACGCGCGGGUGUACUGAAGUAGACCUGCUGUAGUUUCAACCAUGAACGGCUUGUGGUAACCUGCUUCGACGGACGUAGAAAUAUUUACUGGCAAGGGCGCCUCUCCUUAUCUCGUCAGCCCUUUGCUGCCUACCAAGUUGACCUUGCUUGCACGAGCAGGUGGAAGGGGCGAUACAACCAGCAAUCGACUGGGGGAUCAAUGGCCAUGGCGGAUGAAUGCGCCGGCGAGGGCGUCCCGGUUGGCCCCUGCCUGCCAUCUUCGUGGAACUACGGGGCUGUAGAGAAAGCACUGCGAGAAUCUGCAAACAAAGGAGGCAAGUGCAUCUUUCUACCAACGGAGGGCCAAGUUUUCCAGACGCUGGAAGAAGCAUACGAGUUCUUCAAUAUGUAUUCCUGGGAAGUUGGAUUUGGAAUUCGCUAUGGCCGUAGCAGGAUGAAUGCGGCCAAGAAAAAGUCCAGGCAAGACCUUAUUUGUUCCUGCGAGGGUAGGGACAACGGAGAGAUGAGCCGAUCUCGCUAGGUGUGA
Long non-coding RNA from Lolium perenne, 2750 nucleotides. RefSeq lists it as uncharacterized. The record is from RefSeq and is a predicted model, not a curated record. NCBI's taxonomy places the organism in Eukaryota, Viridiplantae, Streptophyta, Magnoliopsida, Poales, Poaceae.